CAAAAACAAAAAAAAAAAAAAAAAAAAAAAAAAAAAAAAAAAAAAAAAAAAAAAGGAGUGAAAGUAAGAAGAAGAAAAAAAGAGAUGGUGAGAAAAAAAAAGAGUUAUAAAAUAUUUAGAGAAAACUUCGAAAAUCAUUAAAAAAAAAAAAGAAAAGCAAGAGAAGUUCUUUGGAUUUGGCAAUUCGAGUUCGGAUUCCGUUCGAAUUUUCUGGUGACGACAUUUUGAUUUUCAUCUUUGGUUAACUUAUCACAUAGGUUCUUCUUGAGAUCCUUUCUAUUUAUUUUGUAAGUUUUAUUAUGAUCACAUAAUUGUUUUAUGUUUUUAUUUGUAAUUUAUUUAUUGUAUUGAAUCAAAGAAAAAAUAUAAUCUUAAUUAGUGUGUCAGUGAUUGUCAAUUGCUAUGUUGUAACUUGUUUGCUUAUUGUUCUUCAUGAAUCAUUUCGUUAAUUAUGAACAUUAAAGUUCUUGGAUGAUAAAAAGUGUAACGUUUUUCUUUUAAAAAAAUGCCAAUAUAUUAUUUUAUCAA
Molecule: long non-coding RNA, 528 nt
Filed under: Capsicum annuum
Lineage: Eukaryota; Viridiplantae; Streptophyta; Magnoliopsida; Solanales; Solanaceae
Description: long non-coding RNA (CANN_LNC017730)
Source: RNAcentral